UUUUUGUUUUUUGUUUUGUUUUGGUUUUUGUUUUUUUUUUUGAGACAGUCUCGUUCUGUCAUCAGGCUGGAGUGCAGUGGUGUGAUCUCAGCUCACUGCAACCUCUGGCUCCCUGGUUCAAGCGAUUAUCCUGCCUCAGCCUCCCGAGUAGAGCUGGGACUGCAGGUGUGCGCCACCACGCCCAGCUAAUUUUUGUAUUUUUAGUAGAGACGAGGUUUCACCAUGUUGGCCAGGAUGAUCUCCCACCACGCCCAGCUAAUUUUUGUAUUUUUAGUAGAGACAAGGUUUCACCAUGUUGGCCAGGAUGAUCUCCAUCUCCUGACCUCGUGAUCCGCCCACUUCGGCCUCCCAAAGUGCUGGGAUUACAGGUGUGAGCUACUGUGCCUGGCCUAGAACUCAUCAUUUUUAGACCCAUGUUCCUCCUCCACUGUGACAGCCCAAAAAGCAGGUUCCGUUUUGUUCAUCUUUCUAUGCCUGCACCUAUUUCAGUGCUUACUAUAUGGCACAGAAUUUGUUAAGCAAAUUCAUACAGUUGAAAACUUUCUGUAUGAUUUCUACAGUUUUAAAGAAGCCUAAGAUCUUCUGAUUAAGUGAAACUUGCAUGUUUAUCUGGUUCCAAUUUAUUUCUCCGAGUAAGGACUCUGAUAUUGUAUUCCUUAAAAAUGAAUGUUGAGUUUCUGCUAGGACGCAGGGUCAGGGCGAGUUAUCUGCUGCACAGCCUGACCCACGGGUGGUGUUUUAUGUUGAGGCAGUGUCAGCCUAUUCCUUCCACCACACAUCGACAGUUCUAUAAUCAAAAUACCCAUACCAGACCUCCAAAUAUUUCACAACGGUUCACCUAAUUUUGUGAAGUCUGUCUUAAACCCUCCCUUUAGACCCAGUAACCCUGUCCUGGGAACAUUCGGUCCAUCAAUGCCACUCUUAUGAAUGGAAGAGCAGGACAUAAGGAGAUUGAUGUACGGAGUCAAGUGGGUCUCAUGCUUGUGACCUGAAUACUGUUCUUCCGUGGACAAAUCUGGGCACAUAAAAAAGCAAGAUGGAGUCCCCUUGUCCUCCUGCCCUUUAAAACUUGAAACUGUUGGCAAUGAAGUUAAGAAUUUACUCUUGGCAGAUGGAAAAACCCACCCAAGGACUUGGAAUGGGAAUCUCCACAUCUUCGUCAGUUGAAAAAUGAAAACAGGAGAGAGCAUUUGCUACGGUUUGAAUGUCUGUGUUCCCACCGAAUUUCUUACGUUGAAACCUGACACCCGAUGGGUUGGUAUAAACAGGUGGGGUCUUCGGGAGGUGAUCAGGGUCAUGAGGGCAGAGUUCUCAGGAGUAGGAUCAGGGCCCUCAUCAAUGAGGCCCGAGGGGGCUUGUUCGCCUUUCUCCACAUGAGGACACAGCAAGAAGGUUCCAUCUAUGAAGCGAAAAGCUCUGCCCAGACACGGAACCUGCUGCCACCACAUUGAUCAUGAACGUCCCUGCCUCCAGAACUGUGAGCAAAAAAUAUGCCCAGUCUUAGGUAUUUUGUGAUAGCAGCCUGAAAGGACCGAGACAGCAUUCUCGUUGCAAUUGUUUCACUACAUUUUUCCCACCCAUAAGGAAAUCAGAGAGGGAUGUGUGACCGUCAACCUGCGCCAGAUCCCUAAGGAAGUUCCCCUUCCUCAAAGCCAUCAUAAGCCCCCGUGCCUCGGCGGACAGUGAGGAAAUCACACAUCCCAAGAACUUGUCACACUGGUAAAGACCAGGGCAUCUCACGUUCUCUUUCUGUAAUUUUACAAUAGUAUCCUUUUAAAAGGUUAAGAUUGAGAACAUUAGUAACACACAUUAGAAACGCACCACCGUUUUCAAACAGCUAAGGAAGGGAAAGUAAAGGUGCUGGGAUGAAUGUAUUAAGGUUUUAGAUUGUUGGGGGUGGGGGGGCGUCACGAUCCCCAGCUUCUGCGCCUAGCAUGACAUGGACGAAUUGCAGACACGGAGACCGCGCACCACUGCCUUCCCCCAUUUCCCACCCAGCGAGACCUCCAGAGCAGCCGGUGUAGACGUUGCGCCCUCACUGCUGGGUGAACAGGAGGCGGAUAAAGGACGUAAAACUGCCUUCCGUGGGGAAGCAGCUUGGUUACUUGUGGAACCAAAGGGUCUGGGAUGCAGCUAUAGCAAACACCAGUAAGCUCCUGUGCUACCGGGGGGACUGACCAUGUCCCGUGACACAGGGAGAUGUAGGCCAGGGUUUUGUUUUGUCCUAACACAAGUGUUCUUAGCCCUUCGCUUCAAUGUCAGCUACCUAUUAAGGACUUUGGUGUUGCCACUUCGUUUCAGAUGCACGCCCUUCUCAGAAGAACCAGCCAUCCAAGAGGAAGGAGGUUCUAAACAGUGAGGCAUAAACCUCGGCUGAGUUAGACAAGCUCCGCACUUGACGCAAAGGCCUUUCGGAUCAUCAAAGGCCUUCCGAGGCAGCAUUUUCACCGCAGAGUGGCGCAGAGGGCUAGAGGCUCGGGUGGGGGGAGGGACGCCCACUGCUGUUCAAAGUUCCAUUUCCUGCCCAGCCCAUCUGGGAAGCCACAUUCAGGAACUUAUCUAGUCCGUCCUUUCUUCAGCCAGUAGAGACACAGUUAUAUCUUUUAAUUUAAAAACACAUUUUAUCUUUUUAAAUUAGAAUCUUUAUUGCAUCUGAUGGUCCUGUCUCAUUUUCGCUGUCUCAUCAGUAAACCAUUGCAAAUCACAGCGCCAGCCCCUCUGUGUCCCCACGUUUGACACAGUAAUUUCCUCCAGGUGUGGCUGAGUCAGAAUUCCUUCUGCGUCCAUCCCUAUACGUCCAGUAUGGGUGACAGUGCAAGGGUAAGAACAGUGAGUGUAUUCAGUGGGGAAAUAAGAGGUGCUGCGAAAAAAACUGAGAAAAACACAGCAUCUUCCAUUACAAACAGUGAAUGUCCCGGAGUCCACAAGAGUUGAAAAAAAAAAAAACUCGGGCCAUCUGGGCAUCUUUUCAGAUGAACGAUCUUGUGAAUCAUCCUAAAAUUCUUCUAUAAAUAAAGAGCAUUAACACUUUGGUUUAUGUUCAGCCAACAAAAAUAAAUAACCACAGAUCAAAGCGGGCUGUCAAACGAUGUAAGCCACCCUCUGAAAUUGGGGAAAAAUGUCUUACAAAUCUCAGAACUCCAAGAUGUUUUUAUUUAUUUCAAAUUCCAAUAGAAUGAAUAUGUUUUAUCUAAAUAUUUUUAUCACACAACUAAAACAUUGAAUUACUUUUUCAGAAAUAGAGUUAAAUACAUCAAUCUAGUUACAAAUUCUAAUAUAAAGAGUACAAAAUAUAAUGUUAUAAAUUGUAUUUUAAAAAAGGAAAUACAAAUUCUAUGGCCUUUUGCAUUUUACUGCCUCAAAGUAGAAUUAGCAAAGCUGAUGAAGAAUGAACAUUUUCCCUUGGGCGGGUGGCCCCUGGAUCACUUCCCACAGGCAUGUUACCGGGCCCCAGAGCGGGCUCCCACCAACCACCAACCACGGCAAACACAGGCGUCCUCCUCACUUGAAGUCCUGGCCUGUGGUGGUUGCAUCUUUUUUUGCUCAGUGAACAAAACGUUCUGAAAUUAGAACUCACCCAAGUUAAAAGCAGUAAAACAACAUAUGCUACUUAAGACGUUCUGAAGUGGAAAGUAAAGCUAUAUGAAUGCCGUCCUUCCUUCCUUCCCUUUUCUACAGCUUGGAAACCUCUGAGAAUGUGCUGGGGGUGGCAGAGGAGGGUUUGUCUAGUUUGAAGGAAGGAAUGUUGGCAGACAGUCUCCAGCCACGAAAGCCCAGGAGGUGCCCUCUUCCACACAGCGGACUAAGCACUGCACCCACUUUCUUUGAUCCAGAAGGCAUCACUACUGACCCCGUAAGCCACACCCUGUCUCUCUGUCCAAAGAACAGAGGCCCACCAGAGAGGCCCCCUGGAGAGGCCCCC
Molecule: long non-coding RNA, 3922 nt
Organism: Macaca fascicularis (crab-eating macaque)
Lineage: Eukaryota; Metazoa; Chordata; Mammalia; Primates; Cercopithecidae
Source: Ensembl